This 1050-nucleotide long non-coding RNA is filed under the name Prunus dulcis (almond). Its description in RNAcentral is "sRNA ncRNA". The record is from RNAcentral. Lineage: Eukaryota; Viridiplantae; Streptophyta; Magnoliopsida; Rosales; Rosaceae.
ACUACUGUUCUCUUUUUCAUUUUCGCAUACAUGGUUUCCCUUCAAAUUUUUUUGGUUGUGCCAUGUUUAGGCUCCAGAAUAUCUACCAGAAAGAUUCUUGCCUUCGCCUAUGUUAUGAACCACUCAGUGACUGAAACCAACACCUUUGAACAACAUCCACAGGAGAAGAAAGUUGAAAAACUCCUCAAACGACCUGGCAACCUGUUUGCAUUUAGUUCUCAAGAACAGGGGAUUGUAUGUUUAAAUUUAAUUGCAAAUAUCACCAUCCAAAAAAAUCAGACUGCCGUGUCCCCCUCGUGUGCACUGAGUGCCAAGGGCCUUCCUUUGAGAACAGUAAGUUCACUCUUCUUUGAAUUGUGCUUUCUGAAGUGAAUACAUAAUUAUGGAAUAUGAUCUAACAAGUACCUGCUGUACAAUAUUUUAAGUGAUUGAAUCAUUGGAAAUUUCAAAAAUUUGCAAAUUUUUAGCGUCCUUUAGAUAAAUUGGCAAUGUACCACAAAAGUAAUCAUUACUAAUACAAAUUUGACCCUGGGAAGAGAUUGUAGUGAAAGUUGUCGAAAUGUCUCUUUUUUUAAAUUUUUUUGGUGAAGAAAACCAACAUGUCUCUUUCGACAUAAAGAUUCUUGACUAACUAUGAGAGCCUGAUUGCAUAUUACACUUAAUUAUAUCAUGCCAUUUAUCACACAAAUUUUGUACUAACUUUGUUUCAAAUACCAGUGUCAGAAUGUUUGCACACAAUACCAUAGCUAUGUCAUUCACAAUAUUCAACUUCCAUGAGCAUCUCUAUUGCAUUUUCGCAUGCAUGUUUUUCCCUUCAUUUAUUUUUUUUGGUUGUGCUAUGUUUAGGCUCCAGAAUAUCUACCAGAAAAAAGCAUGUCUGCACCUCCACCCUUUGUUAUGAAUCACUCAGUCACUGAGACCAAUUCCUAUGAACAACAUCCACAGCAGAAGUAAGUUGAAGAACUCCCAGAACGAUCUAAUUGCAAAUAUCAAUAUCCAAACAAUCACACUGCAGUGUCCUGAGUGACAAGGGCCUCCCUUUGGGACCAG